Molecule: ribosomal RNA, 311 nt
Filed under: uncultured bacterium
Lineage: Bacteria
Description: bacterial SSU rRNA
Rfam family: Bacterial small subunit ribosomal RNA
Source: RNAcentral
GACGAACGCUGGCGGCAGGCCUAAUACAUGCAAGUCGAACGCACCGCAAGGUGAGUGGCAGACGGGUGAGUAACGCGUGGGAACCUUCCUAGUAGUACGGAAUAACUCCGGGAAACCGGUGCUAAUACCGUAUAAGCCCUCCGGGGGAAAGGAUUUAUCGCUACUAGAUGGGCCCGCGUCGGAUUAAGCGUUGUUGGUGAGGUAAUGGCUCACCAAGGCUUCGAUCCGUAGCUGGUCUGAGAGGAUGAUCAGCCACACUGGGACUGAGACACGGCCAGACUCCUACGGGAGGCAGCAGUAGGGAAUAUUGG